ACACACACCACACAUACACACCACACAUAUACACCCCCCAACAUAUACACCCCCCCACAUAUACACACACCACACACACACCACACACACACACACACCCCACACAUAUACACACCACACAUAUACACAUACACACCACACAUGUACCACACAAAUAUACACCCCCCACAUAUACACACACCACACACACACACCACACAUAUACACUCCCCCACAUAUAUACACACACGCCACACACACACCACACAUACACAUGCACACAUAUAUACCACACACACAAACACACCCACACACCCACACCACACAUAUACACAUACACACCACACAUACACACACACACACCCCACACACACCAUGCAUAUACACAUACACACCACACAUAUACACCCACACAUACAUACCACACAUAUACACACACACACCACAUAUAUACACACCACACAUGUACCACAUACAUCUACACCCCCUCCACAUAUACAUACCCCUCCACAUAUACACACACACCACACAUACACACACCACACAUAUACACCCACACAUAUACACAUACCCCCCCCACAUAUACACACCCCCGACAUAUACAUACCCCCCCACAUAUACACGCACACACACCACACACACCACAUAUACACCCGCACAUACACACCACACAUAUACACAUACACACCACACAUGUACCACACACAUAUAUACCCCUUACAUAUACACCCCCACAUAUACAUACCCCCCUACAUAUACACACACACCACACACACCACACACACCACACACCACACACACACAAAUACACACCACAUACACAUACCCCCCACACACACACACCACACAUAUACACCCCCCUCACAUAUACCCACCACCCACAUAUACAUACCCCCCCACAUAUACACACACACCACACAUACACACACCACACACACAAACAUACCACACACACAUACACACCACACAUGUCCCACACAUACCAUACAAAUACACACACACCACCCACAUACAUACACCCCCACCUAUAUGCACACAUGCACCACACACAUACACACCACACAUAUAUACACACACACCGCACAAACACACACACACCACCCAUACACACACACACCACACACAUACACCCCCCCCCUCACACACACACACACACACACAUCUUAGCCUUCAGAAAUGAGGCUAGGCUGCCACCUAGUGACCACAUAUGAGACUGCAGGCAUUUCCAGGUGU
Molecule: long non-coding RNA, 1212 nt
Filed under: Bos indicus x Bos taurus (hybrid cattle)
Lineage: Eukaryota; Metazoa; Chordata; Mammalia; Artiodactyla; Bovidae
Description: lncRNA (ENSBIXG00005023552.1)
Source: RNAcentral